CUUGAACCCGCCUGAGCCCAGCCCCCCUGGAAGUGUAUAUGUGGCUUGGGGAUGAAGGGGCUGCUCGUGUCUAACUCCUGGGGACCUGAACAGCUCUAACAGAGUGGACCACGGGGCAGGAGACAGCUCUCAGUUUCUGCAUCUUCAGAACACUUCUUCAGGACCUAUCAGAGCUCUUAAACUGAAAACAUAGUUUUGUGUCUCACAUUUGUCCCACUUCAGGGCCUAUCAUGACAAUUUUUCUCAUGCCCAUGCCUUGUAAUGUCUAUAUAAUAGCCUAUCGUUGGCCAUGAGUGUGUUUCCAGUUGCUUUGUUAGCACAAGCAAUGCCGCAGUGAACAUCUUUGUGCACGAUUAUAAUUCCUCUCUUAGGAUAAAUUCCUUGCAAUUGCUGAUCCGGAGGAGGAACCAUUUGAAAGGCCUUGCUUGGUGUUGCCUAGUUGCCUCCUGAAAUGUCACGCUGCUUUGUGUGGACAUUUUCCAGCAGAGUGUGAGAAUGCCCGGAGAACAUUGCGAGUGAGUCCCUUCUCAAGGUCACGUUGACCCCAGCGGGGUCAGGCUUCAGGCAGAGCCUCAGUCGGGUCCAGGGGAGAAGCAGGGGGAAUGGGAGGCUGCUGCCAAGGGUCCGGGCACUGGGUGGGUGUGGCCUAGGACGGGGACCUUGGGGUGAGAACCUAAGAGACUCUCUUGGGGUCCCCGCCGGCUUGUCCCUGCAGCGGGUUCAGCACACAGCCGCCCGGCUCAGAGAGUACACGACAUCAGGGGUCUCAGGUGUGCGGGCCCUCAUUCCUGAGGGCCAUGAGAGACUGAGCGCUGGGCCCUGAAGGAGGACCCCCUGGACGCCCCGCUCCCCACGCCGUCGCAUGGAAGCACAUUCCGGCCCUGCAGUGGGGGGAGCAGCCAAGAGGGCCCUGUGUGUGCCUCGGCGCCUGCCCCUGUGAACGGCAAGCUCGUGCUGGAAUCGCCGCCGUCUGUUGACUCCGUGGAUGCUGUGCGGAGGUCUGGGCGCUCCUCUCUCCCUCGAGCUUCUCUCCCGGGGAGAGCGAGGGAGCGGGAGAGGGGCCGAGGCUAG
RNAcentral lists this long non-coding RNA (1071 nucleotides) under Equus caballus (horse). RNAcentral's name for it is "lncRNA (ENSECAG00000046333.1)". The record is from RNAcentral. Lineage: Eukaryota; Metazoa; Chordata; Mammalia; Perissodactyla; Equidae.